Molecule: ribosomal RNA, 394 nt
Filed under: uncultured bacterium
Lineage: Bacteria
Description: bacterial SSU rRNA
Rfam family: Bacterial small subunit ribosomal RNA
Source: RNAcentral
GACGAACGCUGGCGGCGUGCUUAACACAUGCAAGUCGAGCGGUAAGGCCCUUCGGGUACGACGAGCGGCGAACGGGUGAGUAACACGUGGGUGACCUGCCUCUAGCUCUGGGAUAAGCCUGGGAAACUGGGUCUAAUACCGGAUAUGACUCCACGGCGCAUGUUGUGGGGUGGAAAGCCUUGUGUGGCUAGAGAUGGGCCCGCGGCCUAUCAGCUUGUUGGUGGGGUGAUGGCCUACCAAGGCGACGACGGGUAGCCGGCCUGAGAGGGCGACCGGCCACACUGGGACUGAGACACGGCCCAGACUCCUACGGGAGGGCAGCAGUGGGGAAUCUUGCGCAAUGGGCGAAAGCCUGACGCAGCGACGCCGCGUGAGGGAUGACGGCCUGGUGUAA